This 199-nucleotide unclassified non-coding RNA is filed under the name uncultured Sebacinaceae. Its description in RNAcentral is "sequence contains ITS2". The record is from RNAcentral. Lineage: Eukaryota; Fungi; Basidiomycota; Agaricomycetes; Sebacinales; Sebacinaceae.
GUACUCUCACACUCCCGAUCUUUGGAUUGGGAGCGGUGGACUUGGGUGUUGCUGCUUCACUGUGGCUCACCUCAAAUAUGGUAGUGCACCUCUCAGUUGGACAUAGUACGGCGUGAUAAGUGUCUUCGCCGGCACCUCGAAAGGGGGUGGCUGAUUGGGAGCUCUGUGCUUUCAAACUGCCUUUGGACAAUCUCUGACA